ACUGGGCACGGUGGGGCGUGCCUAUAGUCCCAGCUACUCGGGAGGCUGAGGUAGGAGGAUCGCUUGAGUUCAGGAGUUCUGGGCUGCAGAGUGCUAUGCUGAUCGGGUGUCCGUACUAAGUUCGGCAUCAAUAAGGUGACUGCCCGGGAGUGGGGGACCACCAGGUUUCCUAAGGCGGGGUGAACUGGCCCAGGUCAGAAACAGAGCAGGUCAAAACUCCUGUGCUGAUCAGUAGUGGGAUCACGCCUGUGAAGAGCCAUUGCACUCCAGCCUGGGCAACAUAGUAAGAUCCGUCUCUU
Unclassified non-coding RNA from Callithrix jacchus (white-tufted-ear marmoset), 299 nucleotides. It matches the Rfam family "Metazoan signal recognition particle RNA". Rfam says of the family: The signal recognition particle (SRP) is a universally conserved ribonucleoprotein. It is involved in the co-translational targeting of proteins to membranes. The record is from Ensembl. Lineage: Eukaryota; Metazoa; Chordata; Mammalia; Primates; Cebidae.